Molecule: long non-coding RNA, 199 nt
Organism: Bradysia coprophila
Lineage: Eukaryota; Metazoa; Arthropoda; Insecta; Diptera; Sciaridae
Source: RefSeq, a predicted model, not a curated record
UUUUGUACCAAAAAAAAUAUAAAAACCAACGCACUUCAAGCAAAAAUGCUUCGAGUGACAGCUGCCAAAUAAAGUACUAUUUUCUAUGAAAAAAUUUUCUAGACUUUUUACAAUGCCAAAAUGUGUUCGAUACACUGUUCCAUUUCGGGACUCUAUUCAGAGUACCACUCAUGCUUUAAGUGCGUUGGAAAAACGUAUA